CAAAUGGCCAAGCAUGACUCAACCGAAGAUUUCGCUCGCUGUAUCUUUAAAGCACUUGAAGUUUUCUUGGCAGCUCAGGGAAGAACUGCAAGUUCAGCCAAAAUAGACAAUAAAGCAAAGGGGAGGAACAUGCCAAAAUGAAAGGGGCAACUAGUUCCAGGGGUUCAUUUUUCCUUCAUGAUUCACGCUGGAAAAGAAAGCACUUCCCUGUCCUCAGAUGAACUCUCGCCGCGCUCUGGAGGAGGGGACGGACGCGCGCGCGCGCGCACAAGCAGAACUGGGUCAACUGCAGACGAGUCAAAAGAAGCGAGAGAGUGUCGUGUUGAGCUGACAGCACAGCUGUGUUUCCAGUGGAUCACAGACAGACAGGUGAUGUGUCCUGUCUGGCUCUUUGGCUGCGCACCAAGUAAUGUGAUCAAUCAGAGGUACUUCAGAAAUCCCGCAGUCGCAGGUGUCACUCAUAAACAAACAUGCUGCUCCAGCUUGAGUUCACGGAGGGCGUCUGUCCUCACGCGCCCCGGGAGCUUUUACCUGCUUGUGUCUUGCAUGGCUGUUGUGUUCAGAGACGAAGAGCGAGGAUCAGCCCUGAUGACCCAGAAAGACGCUCAUGGAUGGGCCUAAUUAGAUCAGCCCGGUGUGACGAACGGGAGAUGACGUCAUGGCUCUGCUGGCCGGUCAUGUGACUGGCUUAAAUUGUGUUUGUGCUCUGAUCUGGGAUCAGAUGACCACUGUAGUGUUACUUAAUCAUAAACUUCAUUAGAGAACCAGGCUAAAUUAUAUACAUUAAAAUAUUAUUUCUGAUUGGAUGAGCCACGUUAGAUUUGUAAAAUGCAGGAUAUUAAAAAUAGCAUUUGUUUAAUCACACAGUAUACAGUGUUAGAUCUCAAGAAUACCACUAAUUUAGCCAUUUAUAUAAAGUGUGCACAGCAAUUUUGCAUCAUUCUCUCUGGCAGCAAGUAUUUUUUUAUUUUACAUAUUGUAUACUUAUUUUAAACGUAAAUAUAUAUUUUUUAAUGUUUAUGAAAGUUUAAAUAAAUAUAAGUGCAUGUUUAAAAACAAUACGACAUUGUAUUUUUAACACUUAAAGUUAUAUACAUAUAAUUUUCACAUUUUAAGAAAUAAAUGUACAUUUAUGUUUAUUCUCCUUGUGGCCUUUUUACAGAUCAUCUGAUCUUUCUCACUAGACUCUCUCACUCUUUAUUUCUUCUCUGUCAAGUUUCUCCUUUAAUCACACCGGUCAUCCCAGUAUAGAUGCAACAUCUGGAUUUCAUCGCCGCUGGAGUGAUGAUAAACACUCUCACAGCUGAUCCAAAACCCACAUCGCACGGAUGGAGUCAGUAGACAUCAGACAGAAGCUCAGAUGAAGCUAUACGUAGAUCCUACUCACUGGAUUAUUGCCUGCUGUUUCAAUUAUGUGCACAAGAACGUGAUAAUAGAAAAAACAAGAACAAUGUAACUUUGAGCUCCGGCGACGUCUGCUGGCAGCUCUGGGUACUGCAUCGUUCCAGUGCGGCUUUAUUUUGUUACUCAAACAAGCUUGCUUUCCCACAUUAACUUCCAAAACAUUCUUGUAAUAAAACAUAGUAUAUUUCUUUGAAAAAGUGAAGAAUUACCUCUAGCUGUGGUCUCUAAACUACUAUUAACCUGACGUAGGUCCAUGCUGAAUUAGAUUUUUUCCUUGCAUCGCUCAGAUUAAUAGCGUUUCUCUGUGAUUUAGCCCUGGAGAUGUGUCUGUAAUAGCAUAUGCCUUCCAGGCCUAAUUACCCUAAAUGCAAUUUAAGUUUAUUAUCUUUUGUAUCCAGGGAGAACUGCACAACUCCGUUAUUAACCAAACUGUCCUCCUUUCUUACUGUCCGACAAUUUACAGCAGGAUUCAAUCAAGUUACCGUAAGUAAAACCGAUGAUUUUUACUUUCGUUGACGGGAAAGCACUCGAUGGUCAGGCCGCUGUGGGCCUCUGGUCAACAGAAUACUUUUUGCAGUCUUCAUCCACGUCCCAUUGACGGAUUUUGACCAAAAGCAAAUAAACGGAGAACAUUAGAGCAGAAGGCAAAGUAUGCAGUGUGUUAAAAUCCACUCUCAUUCGAGUCACUUAACAGAAUUAUUAAGUAUUGUAUCUUUUAUUAAAUAAAAAAAAAGGCAAGAAAAACCUCAAACCUGGAUUUGUUGUCAUAGUCUGGCAUCAUUUUUCUGUCACUUUACUGUCUAUCCAAGAAGACCAGCCUGAAUUUAUUUUGGUUUAAUAUGCAUAAAUGUGUGUUUUUG
This is a long non-coding RNA of Cyprinus carpio carpio, 2264 nucleotides long. The record is from Ensembl. NCBI's taxonomy places the organism in Eukaryota, Metazoa, Chordata, Actinopteri, Cypriniformes, Cyprinidae.